UUAGAAUUACACCUUUGCAAAGAGAUGUGGGGUUUUUGGUUUUUCAGUUGUUUUUUAGUACAUUUAUUUUCAUUUGGAUAUUGAGCCUAGUGGGAGGGGCUUAUGGUAUAAAAAGAGGGAUCCUCACUGUGAUGAGGGCAGUGCUGGGAAUGACACAAAGAAGGUCACAACCACUCUGGAUCUGUUCAAAGUGGAAUCUGUGAACUGUUUUAACUUCUUAUUUUCACAGGUGAGCAAAUAAAUGUCACAAGCAUUUUACUUCUUUUGCUUGCCUGAGUUUUUGUGUUACACUCUGAGUAGGAAAUGGAUGGAACCCCGCGGCAUGCAUGGUCCGGUACUUUUGUGAAUAACAAUUUUAACAGAUUUUCUAAGUUGACGGGGUAGUAACCCGCUCUCGUUUAUCUUCUCCUCUGGUGUCUCAAUCACUGUGCGCUAGCUCAUAGGGAAAAUGUGUAGUUGGUGCUUUUUGUCCCUUGCCGGUGGCUGUAGUUUCGAGGUGGCAGACCAUUAUGGUGCAUUCCUACUGACUUACCCAUCAUAUAUAAAAACAAAUGUAAAAUUCUUUGCUCACAAGAAUGUGUCAGACCAUUAGUGGAGGUCAUAAUACACCAAUGAUUUAGGUCAGUAAACAACGUUACACAAUGUCCCUUGAAAGAAACAACAACUUCUCCCAUACAAUGGAUUAAGAAGAAAUUUGCAUACAAAAAGCCAAAAUUGCUUCCAUUGGUUUUACUGGCAAAAAAAAAAAAAAAGAAAUGUCUCAAUUGGAAUGUCAAAUUUUUCCAUUUGUCUUUGCAGUUUUAGUCAUUUUUGUCACUUAAAAUUGAUUAAACAGAAUAAAAUAUAAAGGGAACACUGAGAAAACAAGUUGUUCUCAUAUGUGAACACCAGAACUUUUCUGGAUGAACUCAGCUUAACAGUUCAGUGUGAAGUUAAGCAAACAAACUAUAUAAAGUCAUAGUAAAUCAACUGAUAUAUUUUGUUUCAUGACUGAAGAAUUGCUUUGAGGUUGCAGCUGUUUUAUGGACAUAAGUUGGAUUGCCAAAGUUGUAGUUUCUUUAUGCAAGCUCUACUUGUUGUUGUGUUUAAACUGCAGAGCUUUCAGUGUUUCAUGCACACCACUGCCAUGAUCAUUUCUACUUCUUAGAAUAUGGAAAACAAUGCUUUAAAUUAACAAUAAACAGAAGCAUUAAAUUACUUAGUGGUACAGAUACCUUGGCUUUAACUAUUUUACCUGUUACCUACAGCCACUAAAUUUUAUUGAACUUUGAGCAUGGAUGACAGAAAAAGCAUCACUUCUGGAUCAUCUGUUUUAUUUCAGAGGAAAAUCUAUGACUGCCCUUUUAGUUGUUAUUAUAUUCAGUGUCACUUUCAUUUAAUUUGCUUCCACAUAGCUGUGUAUGUAUUUAAAUCAUCCUGAAGAACUAUUUGCAAAACU
Molecule: long non-coding RNA, 1438 nt
Organism: Melanotaenia boesemani (Boeseman's rainbowfish)
Lineage: Eukaryota; Metazoa; Chordata; Actinopteri; Atheriniformes; Melanotaeniidae
Exons: 3
Source: RefSeq, a predicted model, not a curated record